RNAcentral lists this ribosomal RNA (561 nucleotides) under uncultured bacterium. RNAcentral describes it as "bacterial SSU rRNA". It matches the Rfam family "Bacterial small subunit ribosomal RNA", at positions 102 to 674 of the family's 1533-position model. The record is from RNAcentral.
AAGGGAGAGUAAUGCAUGGAUAUCUACCCUCGGGUCUGGGAUAGCUGCGGGAAACUGCAGGUAAUACCAGAUGACAUCUCCGGAUCAAAGGUGUGAUUCCGCCCGAGGAGGAGUCCAUGUCCUAUUAGCUAGUUGGCGAGGUAAUGGCUCACCAAGGCAAAGAUGGGUAUGGGGUGUGAGAGCACGACCCCACUCACUGGGACUGAGAUACUGCCCAGACACCUACGGGUGGCUGCAGUCGAGAAUCUUCGGCAAUGAGCGCAAGCUUGACCGAGCGACGCCGCGUGCGGGAUGAAGGCCUUCGGGUUGUAAACCGCUGUCAGUGUGGAGGAAAUCCCUAAGGGUAAUCUCUUAGGGUUGACCUAUACGCAGAGGAAGGAUGGGCUAAGUUCGUGCCAGCAGCCGCGGUAAGACGAACCAUCCAAACGUUAUUCGGAAUCACUGGGCUUAAAGGGUGCGUAGGCGGCGUGGUAAGUUGGGUGUGAAAUACCUCAGCCUAACUGAGGAAUUGCGCCCAAUACUGCCAUGCUCGAGGAAGACAUAGUGAGCGGAACUUAGGGU